Molecule: long non-coding RNA, 1558 nt
Organism: Peromyscus leucopus (white-footed mouse)
Lineage: Eukaryota; Metazoa; Chordata; Mammalia; Rodentia; Cricetidae
Exons: 3
Source: RefSeq, a predicted model, not a curated record
AACCAAAUAAAUAAAUAAAUAAAUAAAUAAAUAAAUAAAUAAAUAAAAAGAAAGGGAAUUUGAGAUUUGAGGCCAGACUCAGCUACAUGAGACCCUGACCUCCAAACCCUGAUAAAUAUCCAAUUUCAACUCAUUUCAAUAAAUACAUAAGGGUUCACAUUGAAUUCCUCCUUUCCUUGGACUCUAACAGAAAGGCAAUCCCAGCCUGUCACACAGUGGUUCUCCCUCCUUUUCAAUGGGCAGGCCUAACCACGGACACUUCCCCCUACACCACCACCCUGAGGACAGUGUUUGGGACCAGAUCUCCCUCCCUCCACUGUUAGGUCACUCUCAGCACCUUGGAAACUCUUCUUUGGUCACAAUGAAUCCCAGCAAGGCCGCAGAGCCUCUGGCAGGUCUCCUCCAGGGCUGCCACACUGUCCACAUGGGUUGGGAGUGGUGUGGGGGGCUGAUGGUCUCAGGGCCCUCAAUCAGGGAGUGGAAUUUGAUUUCACAUGAAAAGAAAAAAGAAAUCUAGCUGGCUCCGAAAGAGAGGCUCUGGACACAGCCAGGCUCCAGUUCCACAGAGACCUCGGCAAGGAGGGCCCAUCUUCUCCGCACUGUCUUGUAGGCCUUCAGCUCCAGGAGUUCAGCUCUGUAUCCCGUUAGGCCACUCUCCAGUGUACAACAUCCAGUAGCAGGAAGAAGUGGAGCAGAGUUUGACAUCCAGGCAGCGUGGACUCGGUCCAGAGACAGAGAAAGGUGAUCUGCUACCAUCAGGUGAGGAUGGAAGAAGAUCAGCAUUCGGAGAGUUCAAAAUCACCCCAAAAGAAAACAAAACUAGCUGAAAUCAAGAAAAAGAAACGUGUUAGGUUUCUCUUGCCUCACCAAACUGAGAGAAAAAGAAGACCCUCCUCCCCUCAAGAUGUAGAUCAGGAGAUCUUCAAAUGUGAAUGCUGCUACUGUCAGAAGGAUGUGGGGAACAUGUCUGGGGUCUCCAUGGGAAUGGGGACCACGACAGAAGCAGCCUCUCAUUCACCCUCCUGUGAAAACCUGAUACUAGACCUCAGUAACUUGUCACUCAACCCUGAUGCCACCCAGCCCCCUCUUGCGCAAGAAAUACAAAAGAGAGAAAAGAACAAAACGCACUGGCAGCAGAAAAACAAAAAGAUGUAUCAAAUGCUUCUCCACGAAUGGACAGAAUAACUCUGGCAUUGUUAUCCUCAUGUGAAGAUCAGAACCCACGGGAUCAUGAAUGUCAACAUCACCAAACCCUGGGGUGAAAUCUUUUUGGGAGCAUGGUCAAAAGGAGUAAAAAUGUCCAGCCUGAUGACAAUAAUACCUUCAGAUGGCGAGUUUCAAACCUCUUCCAGAAAUGUAACAGUCGUUUUCUUAGUGGUUUUGGCAUCCCCUCUGGGGCAUUCUGGGAACAGAUGCUCCUUGGCUAGGGCAACCAGAUAGCGAUGGUUCUGUACUCCCCAUGCUGUUGUUCCCAUGGGGCCAUCUACCAUUUUCCCCUCCUCGGGUCUCGGCUUUUCCUCCUUUACUUUGUUGCCAAUAAAGUUAAAACAUCGAUGUA